RNAcentral lists this ribosomal RNA (253 nucleotides) under uncultured bacterium. RNAcentral describes it as "partial 16S ribosomal RNA". It matches the Rfam family "Bacterial small subunit ribosomal RNA", at positions 524 to 776 of the family's 1533-position model. The record is from RNAcentral.
UACGUAGGGUGCGAGCGUUGUCCGGAAUUACUGGGCGUAAAGAGCUCGUAGGUGGUUUGUCGCGUUGUUCGUGAAAACUCACAGCUCAACUGUGGGCGUGCGGGCGAUACGGGCAGACUGGAGUACUGCAGGGGAGACUGGAAUUCCUGGUGUAGCGGUGGAAUGCGCAGAUAUCAGGAGGAACACCCGUGGCGAAGGCGGUUCUCUGGGACGGUACUGACGCUGAGACGCGAAAGCGUGGGGAGCAAACAGG